RNAcentral lists this non-coding RNA (113 nucleotides) under Carbonactinospora thermoautotrophica. RNAcentral's name for it is "Streptomyces thermoautotrophicus TPP sequence". It matches the Rfam family "TPP riboswitch aptamer (THI element)". Rfam says of the family: Vitamin B(1) in its active form thiamin pyrophosphate (TPP) is an essential coenzyme that is synthesised by coupling of pyrimidine and thiazole moieties in bacteria. The previously detected thiamin-regulatory element, thi box was extended, resulting in a new, highly conserved RNA secondary structure, the THI element, which is widely distributed in eubacteria and also occurs in some archaea. Lineage: Bacteria; Bacillati; Actinomycetota; Actinomycetes; Kitasatosporales; Carbonactinosporaceae. The record is from Rfam by way of RNAcentral.
UUGAGGGUGCACGGGAGCCCGGUGGGACCGGGCUGAGAGGGCGGGCUGUGAGCCCCCGACCGUUGAACCUGAUCCGGGUAAUGCCGGCGAAGGGAGGCACUGGACGUGGCAGU